UACGGGGGGUGCAAGCGUUGUUCGGAAUUACUGGGCGUAAAGGGCUCGUAGGCGGCCAACUAAGUCAUACGUGAAAUCCCUCGGCUUAACCGGGGAACUGCGUCUGAUACUGGAUGGCUUGAGAUUGGGAGAGGGAUGCGGAAUUCCAGGUGUAGCGGUGAAAUGCGUAGAUAUCUGGAGGAACACCGGUGGCGAAGGCGGUUCUCUGGGCAUUACCUGACGCUGAGGAGCGAAAGUGUGGGGAGCGAACAGG
RNAcentral lists this ribosomal RNA (253 nucleotides) under uncultured bacterium. RNAcentral's name for it is "partial 16S ribosomal RNA". It matches the Rfam family "Bacterial small subunit ribosomal RNA", at positions 524 to 776 of the family's 1533-position model. The record is from RNAcentral.